This 192-nucleotide ribosomal RNA is filed under the name uncultured bacterium. RNAcentral's name for it is "partial 16S ribosomal RNA". It matches the Rfam family "Bacterial small subunit ribosomal RNA", at positions 1309 to 1500 of the family's 1533-position model. The record is from RNAcentral.
AAUUCGCCUGCAUGAAGCCGGAAUUGCUAGUAAUGGCAGGUCAGCAUACUGCCGUGAAUACGUUCCCGGGCCUUGUACACACCGCCCGUCACACCAUGAGAGUUGGGGAUACCCAAAGCCCGUGAGCCAACUGUAAAGAGGCAGCGGUCUAAGGUAGAAUCAAUGAUUGGGGUGAAGUCGUAACAAGGUACC